Long non-coding RNA from Lates calcarifer (barramundi perch), 454 nucleotides. RefSeq lists it as uncharacterized. The transcript has 3 exons. The record is from RefSeq and is a predicted model, not a curated record. Lineage: Eukaryota; Metazoa; Chordata; Actinopteri; Centropomidae.
GAGGAAACCAGACGAACGUCUGUUUCAUACAGUUCUAAUCUGCAAAGGAAGAAGUUUGGAUUUCAGGAUCCUGGAGACACUUUACACCAACUCAUGUCUGUUCUACAGGGAGGUUUAGUUUCUGCACUUAUUUUCCUGCAGAGCGACUCUAAGCUGCGAGUCAAGGACUUUGAGAACCGCCUGCUGUAAACCUGAGAGAGAGAAAGCGGUGACACUGAGGAGUUAACUGCAGGAUUUGGCUUCGGUUACAUUCCCUCUCAGAGAAGCUGCGCAGGCGGCUUCAGGACUCAUUAACGAACUCGGAUCCAGAGUGAACGCCUCGUCAUGUGGAUCCCUCUUUAACCACGGCGCUCUGUGAUCCAGACGAUUAUGGCGAGGUCCACUGACUUCUGGCAAGUAUCUCUGUUUUCCAGUGUGGUAGUUUUUUUUCUUGGCUCAGGGUUUGGAUGCUUCU